GGAGCGGGAGGGGCGGGACCCCUGGUCAACAGACAGGGGCCUCAGCCAAUCAGGUGGCCAGGCCCAGAGAAGCUUCUGGAGCAGGCUGUAAGGGCCACAGCCAGAGCCCCCGGCGCUAUAAAGUGGAACUUUCAGGGAGGUUUUCCUGUGGUCGGUAGGCAGGGGGCUGGGGUGAGCUUAGGAGCACCAGCUAAGGAGACUUCUAAGGAAGGGGAAGACCUCACCUGUUCCUUGCAGCAGUGCUUAGUGUCUUGGAAAGGAAAUGCAAGGGAACAGGGGAUAAAGAAGGAGGCUUCCCCGAUCCCAGGGUAUACUACGGAUCCUGCUACAGCCUGCAGCGGUAUCACUGGCUCCAGGCUGUCAUCUCAGCUGAUCUCUUGCUCAGCCGUGUCAGAUCAGCAGAUGCAUUUGAACUAACUGCUUCUGCAGAGUCAUUUCUUCUUUAGCAGAGACUGCUCAGUAUCCUCUUUCUUCACACUCCGGCGACAGCCCAAUCCAGCCUGGAGUCCUCACAUGCUAUGCAUUGUAUGAGCACACAGUGAGAGACAGUUCCUGGCCUGAAACGUUUACAUCUAAAUAGAUGUGGCAGGUGAGAAGCGGAUAGCAGGGAACUUUCUUUUAUUGUAAAUGGGCACGUGAAUUGGUGAGAGAGGGGCAGUGAUUCAGCUCUAGGCAGGAAUUUUGCCCACUCCACGUGGUGGCUGAGCCGCUGCUCAGAGGUCAUGCUCCUCUUUGCAGCUCUUUAUUUCGUGGCUGUAAAAGCAUCCAUUUAAGUAUGAUUUUCUGCACAGAAGAAAAAUGUAAUAAGUGAAAAAAAAAAAGCCAUCUCUCCUAAGAACAGUAGUCCAUUUCUGUACCAUAAGCGAUGACUGUUCUUGUUCCAGUAAAAGCCAGACCUCCUCAUAACAUACCUUAUAACCUGUUAAUUAUAAUUUCCUUCUCUAACACUUGGAUCACACUACUAAAUAUUUUUAAAUAUCUAUAUAUGUGUUUUUAAGCUGCUGGGUUUGGGUUACACCUUUUCCAUAUGCCCAACCCACACAAUCCCAUCAACGCUUUCACACACCAGUCAAACACUCUAUAUUUGUGUGAAACGCACUGAAGAAAAAAAAAAUUCCUAUUACUACUACUACUAAUACAAAUUCAUUUCUCACAACUAUUAGUAUAUUUCUGAAUGCCAAUAAAUGAAUUUACUGCAAUUAGAUGUCUAAGUUUUUGUCAUGUUGAUUCAGGGAAGAUUUUUUUGAUUGAUAUUGCUAAUUACUCCAGUCCCAUCACCACAUGCCUUAUUUUUUCUUUUUGCUCAACAAAGUUUCCUUUACAAAACUUAAUCACUUUUUGUAUGAGCAAUCCCCUAAUGUAUUUUAUAUUCUGUUGUUACUAGGACUGAUAUUCUGAAAGUUGAUAUACAUUGCAACAGCAAGUGUUAAGAGGGACAAGUAGGGAACAAAAGCCCGUGAUGCAUGACAAAGUCUAAUAAUAGACAAUUUGUUCACCUGGCACUGCCUGCGUAAGUGUUUGGGAUGAGCUCAUUGUUAUUUGGUGAUGAGCUUUCUGCUGGUCGCAUGGAUGAAAAUCCAGGUUGUGAAAACAAAGGUUUGCUAAUAUUAGAACAGCGUUAAAUGGUGCAUGAUAGCACUGGGGAGGUUGCAGGGUGAGCUGCAGGGUUUAAAGCAGUGAAACACUUCCAUAACUAGAAAAGCAAUUGGUGAAGACACAGUUGCUUGUAUUCUUGCAGUAAAACUACAUGUGUAAAUGUUUUCAAGAACUUUAUAACUGGGCAAGCUGCUCAGAGCAGGUUUGCACUCAGAACUGCAUUUCUGUAGGAAAUGCCACAGGAUCCUAUUCCCGUUUACUCCUCUGAGCUGUGCACACAGUUGUUUGCCUGGAUCCCGUGGAGAUGAGGAUGAGGAGGCUGUAAUUGCCAUUGGAUCUUUCCUUAGGCAGACUGUGGAAACGAGCCCUAAGCCAGCAGUUGCAACUGGUGGGCCCCCUCUUGGCUUCAGUUGUACUAAAACUUUGUGUUUGCUUUGCAGAGUCAAGUUAUCCUGCUAGUGAAGUUGUUAAUCAAGUCUCCAUUCCUUAAGAUUAUGGGUGCAGUUCCCAGUAAACAGUAAUUUCAUGGUCUUUACAAUUGCCAUGUGUCAAUGACCUCAUCUCUAUGCAGUGUGUUGGGCUCACUUUCCAAACCAUAACUACUAGGACAUGUUUUAGAGCAAAAACAGUCUCAUUAAGGUUUAACUAUAGUGGAUUGACAGCUGUUUUGCUGUCAAGCAGGGCUUAUUUAACACUAUUGCUUUCCAUCAGCAUCAGAUUUGGUAUUGCAAACAUUUAGAACAAAGCUCAUCCAGGAGGAGGCCAACACAAUCCUGUACCACCAAAAAAAAAAAGUCCAAAUGGUAAUACUGAAUACUUCAACAAAUAAUUCACAAGUAGUCAGUGGCUUAAAAAAGUGCCUAAUACCUCACGCUUCAAAUAGUGAAUAUGCUGUAAACAUUUAGCAUCAGUUCAUUUAUUGCUUGGACACAGCGUUUGUACAGGGAUGGCCUUUGUGCCAGUGUGCAGGUCUGUUUGGCCUAUAUGUAUCACCGAAAAGUUGAGGACCAAAGAGUUAGUUUCUUCAUAUCAGUUGUUUUAGUUCUCUGUUCAUUCUUUUGUUUUAAAAUGUCAGCUGAAUUUAGCAUGUAAGUGUUUGGAUAUCUAAAGGGAGGCCAUGACACCAAGCACAGAUCAGAUUGCUUUCCCUUGCAGAACUCCUCCCUUUGCAUUCCAGCCUGACAAAGUUUUGUUACAGUUGCUCAGUACAUAGAUAACUAAAUGCUUUAAAUACUAAUUAAAAUAGAUGGUGUUUAACUGUUGGCCUAUGCCUUUUGUUUAUGAUGGAAGACAGCAGCGAAGCAAAAUCAUCUAUUAUCGUUAUCAGCAGAGUGUUUCUUUUUUUGUUUUCUUAGCCAAGCAAUACAUAUGUCCAGUCACUGACUUAGUUCUCGUAAACAGCCUUGUUUCCAACAGAAUCUCUUCCUCCACCUUUCAUAGCUUUUAAUUCACUCUGAAUCUACCUUAAA
This is a long non-coding RNA of Columba livia (rock pigeon), 3065 nucleotides long. RefSeq lists it as uncharacterized. The transcript has 4 exons. Lineage: Eukaryota; Metazoa; Chordata; Aves; Columbiformes; Columbidae. The record is from RefSeq and is a predicted model, not a curated record.